Molecule: ribosomal RNA, 497 nt
Filed under: uncultured bacterium
Lineage: Bacteria
Description: partial 16S ribosomal RNA
Rfam family: Bacterial small subunit ribosomal RNA
Source: RNAcentral
GAUGAACGCUGGCGGCGUGCCUAAUACAUGCAAGUCGAGCGAACAGACGAGGAGCUUGCUCCUUCGACGUUAGCGGCGGACGGGUGAGUAACACGUAGGUAACCUACCUAUAAGACUGGGAUAACUUCGGGAAACCGGAGCUAAUACCGGAUAAUACUUCGAACCGCAUGGUUCGAUAGUGAAAGAUGGCUUUGCUAUCACUUAUAGAUGGACCUGCGCCGUAUUAGCUAGUUGGUAAGGUAACGGCUUACCAAGGCAACGAUACGUAGCCGACCUGAGAGGGUGAUCGGCCACACUGGAACUGAGACACGGUCCAGACUCCUACGGGAGGCAGCAGUAGGGAAUCUUCCGCAAUGGGCGAAAGCCUGACGGAGCAACGCCGCGUGAGUGAUGAAGGUCUUCGGAUCGUAAAACUCUGUUAUUAGGGAAGAACAAACGUGUAAGUAACUGUGCACGUCUUGACGGUACCUAAUCAGAAAGCCACGGCUAAGUACGUG